RNAcentral lists this ribosomal RNA (218 nucleotides) under Escherichia coli. Its description in RNAcentral is "partial 16S ribosomal RNA". It matches the Rfam family "Bacterial small subunit ribosomal RNA", at positions 873 to 1090 of the family's 1533-position model. The record is from RNAcentral. Lineage: Bacteria; Pseudomonadati; Pseudomonadota; Gammaproteobacteria; Enterobacterales; Enterobacteriaceae.
CUGGGGAGUACGGCCGCAAGGUUAAAACUCAAAUGAAUUGACGGGGGCCCGCACAAGCGGUGGAGCAUGUGGUUUAAUUCGAUGCAACGCGAAGAACCUUACCUGGUCUUGACAUCCACGGAAGUUUUCAGAGAUGAGAAUGUGCCUUCGGGAACCGUGAGACAGGUGCUGCAUGGCUGUCGUCAUCUCGUGUUGUGAAAUGUUGGGUUAAGUCCCGC